GUAGGGUUCCUAAUCAGAGGCAGCUGUCUAUCGUUGUCUCUGAUUAGGAGCCAUACUUAGGCAGCCUGUUUUCCUUUGGGGUUUUGUGGGUAGUUGUUUCUGUCGUGUGGUUUGCACCGGCAGAACUGUUGGCGUUCGUUUGUGUCUUAUGUUCAAGUGUUUUGUAUUAUUAAAAUUCAAUAUGAACACUCACCAUGCUGCAUCUUGGUCCCCUCUUUCAGAUGAUCGUUACAACUAUGUACAGACUCAGUGAUCAUAGCCUUGCUAUUGAGAAAGGCCGCCGUAGGCAGACCUGGCUCUCAAGAGAAGACAGGCUAUGUGCACACUGCCCACAAAUGAGGUGGAAACUGAACUGCACUUCCUAACCUCCUGCCAAAUGUGGGAGAGCAGAGAACCGCACGGGAACUGACCUUUAUGUAAUCAGAGUCAUAGAACAGGCCUAUAGAAGAGGUGAAGACAGGUCAGCGUCAACAAGGAUACAAUGAGGUGACAUAGCAAAUUGAAACAGGCUUUUGUCUAGGAUGUGCAUAUGUUGAAUGGGCUGAUGUCUCCUGCUUCUCCCAAACAAACAACCCAUUCAGAGCCACAAUCCCCAUUUAAACACAAUGACCAGGAAGUGCAACAUCACAAAACCUCUACACAUCAUUACAGUUCGUUCCAGUCAUUGGCAGCAGAGAACUGGAAGGAGAGACGGCUAAAGGAGGAAUUGGCUUUGGGGGUGACCAGAGAGAUAUACCUGCUGGAGCGCGUGCUACAGGGUUGUGCUAAUGACACCAGUUUGUGUCUGUGAAUCUGCCCGGGAGUCACGCGGGGAACGGAGAGUCUCUGGAGUCUAAACUAAACUGAUAGACCGGAGGAGGAGGUGUCCCACUGUCUGAGUGAGUCUCUCGCUCUGAGAGAGAGAGAGAGAGAGAGAGAGAGAGAGAGAGAGAGAGAGAUCUGCGAUAGCGUUUAAGCACCAUGGACAGCAACCGGGAGCCAUUCUCGUUAACAACCAACCAGCGGGAAGUUUAGAGCAGCUCGCUCUCCUCUAAGUGUUGACCGGAGGAGCUCCCAUUUUCAGAGACGACUCACUUUUGGAUUUGGAAAUAAUGAUCUAGUCUUUGUUCAUGCAG
This 1115-nucleotide long non-coding RNA is filed under the name Salmo salar (Atlantic salmon). Its description in RNAcentral is "lncRNA (ENSSSAG00000085036.1, ENSSSAG00000097965.1)". Lineage: Eukaryota; Metazoa; Chordata; Actinopteri; Salmoniformes; Salmonidae. The record is from RNAcentral.